CCUACGGGAGGCAGCAGUGGGGAAUUUUGGACAAUGGGCGAAAGCCUGAUCCAGCAAUGCCGCGUGAGUGAAGAAGGCCUUCGGGUUGUAAAGCUCUUUUGUCAGGGAAGAAACGGUGAGGGCUAAUAUCUCUUGCUAAUGACGGUACCUGAAGAAUAAGCACCGGCUAACUACGUGCCAGCAGCCGCGGUAAUACGUAGGGUGCAAGCGUUAAUCGGAAUUACUGGGCGUAAAGCGUGCGCAGGCGGUUUUGUAAGUCUGUCGUGAAAUCCCCGGGCUCAACCUGGGAAUUGCGAUGGAGACUGCAAGGCUAGAAUCUGGCAGAGGGGGGUAGAAUUCCACGUGUAGCAGUGAAAUGCGUAGAGAUGUGGAGGAACACCGAUGGCGAAGGCAGCCCCCUGGGUCAAGAUUGACGCUCAUGCACGAAAGCGUGGGGAGCAAACAGGAUUAGAUACCCUGGUAGUCCACGCCCUAAACGAUGUCUACUAGUUGUCGGGUUUUAAUUAACUUGGUAACGCAGCUAACGCGUGAAGUAGACCGCCUGGGGAGUACGGUCGCAAGNUUAAAACUCAAAGGAAUUGACCGGNNGAGAGNGCGAGACGACGACGAGGGAGAGG
This 617-nucleotide ribosomal RNA is filed under the name uncultured bacterium. RNAcentral describes it as "bacterial SSU rRNA". It matches the Rfam family "Bacterial small subunit ribosomal RNA", at positions 338 to 947 of the family's 1533-position model. The record is from RNAcentral.